CGUUUACGGCUACGGAGAUCACGAACAAUGCGUUGAAGCUCGAAGCUAGUGACUUUUCUGCCCUCAUCCACCCAUUCAUCCAAAACUGGAAUUAUGAGAUCCGCAUGCCUCACAGGGCUAAUUCUGGAAAACAAAUUGUUACGCUUUGAAUUUGAAGAAUACACAGUAGCGCAAUAAGCACGAACUGGAAAAGCUCUUUGAAGAAGAUUGUAAGAAAUUGAUCUUCUCAAAAUUGCGAAGUUCAUUGAUG
RNAcentral lists this unclassified non-coding RNA (250 nucleotides) under Hevea brasiliensis (rubber tree). Lineage: Eukaryota; Viridiplantae; Streptophyta; Magnoliopsida; Malpighiales; Euphorbiaceae. The record is from RNAcentral.